Small nucleolar RNA from Meriones unguiculatus (Mongolian gerbil), 124 nucleotides. NCBI's taxonomy places the organism in Eukaryota, Metazoa, Chordata, Mammalia, Rodentia, Muridae. The record is from Ensembl.
AAAGCAGGUGACAACUCUUCAUUUCAUGGAAGAAUUGCUUCUAACCUGCUAAAGAGGAGCCAUAUUGAUGGCCUCUGGUUUUGACCUGUAUGAGGAUAAAAAUGACAGCUGGACAAGGACAGCU